UCGGGAAUUUUGGGCAAUGGGGGAAACCCUGACCCAGCAACGCCGCGUGAAGGAUGAAGUAUUUCGGUAUGUAAACUUCGAAAGAAUAGGAAGAAUAAAUGACGGUACUAUUUAUAAGGUCCGGCUAACUACGUGCCAGCAGCCGCGGUAAUACGUAGGGACCAAGCGUUGUUCGGAUUUACUGGGCGUAAAGGGCGCGUAGGCGGCAAUUCAAGUCAUCUGUGAAAUCUCCGGGCUUAACUCGGAACGGUCAGAUGAUACUGCUUUGCUAGAGUGCAGAAGGGGCAAUCGGAAUUCUUGGUGUAGCGGUGAAAUGCGUAGAUAUCAAGAGGAACACCUGAGGUGAAGACUGGUUGCUGGGCUGACACUGACGCUGAGGCGCGAAAGCCAGGGGGAGCAAACGGGGAUUAGAU
Molecule: ribosomal RNA, 413 nt
Filed under: uncultured bacterium
Lineage: Bacteria
Description: bacterial SSU rRNA
Rfam family: Bacterial small subunit ribosomal RNA
Source: RNAcentral